AGCAGCCGCGGUAAUUCCAGCUCCAAUAGCGUAUAUUAAAGUUGUUGCAGUUAAAAAGCUCGUAGUUGAAUUUCGGGGUUCUACCGUCGGUCGGGCUAACAAGUCUGUACUGGUGUGUAGAAUUUCUACCUUCUGGGGAACUAUCAUGUUAUUAAUUUAGCGUGGUGGGAAACCAGGACCUUUACCUUGAAAAAAUUAGAGUGUUCAAAGCAGGCUUACGUCUGAAUACAUUAGCAUGGAAUAAUAGAAUAGGACGGUGGUCCUGUUUUGUUGGUUUCUGAAUCACCGUAAUGAUUAAUAGGGAUAGUUGGGGGCAUUAGUAUUCAAUUGUCAGAGGUGAAAUUCUUGGAUUUAUUGAAGACUAACUUCUGCGAAAGCAUUUGCCAAGGAUGUUUUCAUUAAUCAAGAACGAAAGUUAGGGGAUCGAAGACGAUCAGAUACCGUCGUAGUCUUAACCAUAAACUAUGCCGACUAUGGAUCGGACGAUGUUAAAUUUUAUUGACUCG
This 506-nucleotide ribosomal RNA is filed under the name Scutellospora sp. Scut1. RNAcentral describes it as "SSU rRNA". It matches the Rfam family "Eukaryotic small subunit ribosomal RNA", at positions 569 to 1078 of the family's 1831-position model. Lineage: Eukaryota; Fungi; Glomeromycota; Glomeromycetes; Diversisporales; Gigasporaceae. The record is from RNAcentral.